AUGUCCAAACACGGAGAAGCCCCCAAGGCCUCUACAUGGGUCAUUGCUGGCCGACGAAGUUCGACAGCGUCCAGGGCGCCAGAAAGGAGGUUGGCAGAGGAGUCGAAUCGAGAAGGUCCGGAGGUAUAUAGGGUCGUCAGAGGUGGCUACUGGAGAGGCGCCUCCAGGCCCCCGAACGCUGUGGCUGCUGGUCAUGGGGAACCGCCACCAUGUUUCACUUUGAAGAACCACUUUGUUGGCGCGGUGAUCAGUCGUGGUGGGUCGAAAAUAAAGCAUAUACAAAAUUCAACAAACACCGUAAUUCAAAUAAUACAAGAAAGACCAGAAUCAUUAGUCAAAAUAUAUGGCAGCAAAGCAAUGCAAGCAAAAGCAAAAGCAAUGAUUGAUAAUUUUGUGAAAAAGCUAGAAGAAAAUUCAGAAUGCAGAGUUGAUUUACCACCAAUUAAGAAAAACCUUUAGAAAGAGUCGGCUGCCACAAGUUCAAUGUCCAAGGUCCAAGCGCAUAGUUGAAGGAUGGGGAGAAACGACCUAUCCCCAAUCCAACCUGUGCAUUUGAUGACGCCUUUCAUUACUAUCCUGAGGUUAUGGAAAACAUUAAAAAAUCAGGUUUUAAAAAGCCAACACCUAUUCAGGCACAAGCAUGGCCCAUUGUUUUGCAAGGAAUAGAUCUUAUAGGAGUAGCCCAAACUGGAGGGAAAACAUUGUGUUAUUUAAUGCCUGGAUUUAUUCAUUUGGACCUUCAACCAACCUUUAAAGGUCAAAGGAAUAGACCCCGCAUGUUAGUUCUAACUCCCACUAGGGAGUUAGCACUUCAAGUUGAAGGAGAAUGUUGCAAAUAUUCAUAUAAAGGGCUUCGGAGUGUUUGUGUAUACAGUGGUGGAAACAGAUGAACAAAUAGAAGAGCUUAGAAAGGCGUAGAUAUCAUAAUUCCAACUCCCGGAAGAUUGAUUGAUUUUCAAAUGAAUAACUGUCAAUCUGAAGAAUAUAACCUACUUGGUUUUAGAUGAAGCAGACAAGAUGUUAGACAUGGGAUUUGAACCCCAGAUAAUGAAACUUUUGUUAGAUGUGCGCCCAGAUAGGCAGACGGUUAUGGCCAGUGCUACAUGGCCAUGUUCUGUUCAUCGCCUCGCACAACCUUAUUUGAAAGAGCCAAUGCUUGUCUAUGUUGGUACACUGAAUCUUGUUGCUGUAAGUUCAGUGAAACAAGAUAUAAUUGUAACCACCGAGGAAGAGAAAUGGAUUCACAUACAAACUUUUCUACAGAGUAUGUCAUCCACAGACAAAGUCAUAGUUUCUGUUUCUCGAAAAGCUGUCGCAGAUCACUUAUCGAGUGAGCUAAUACUUGGAAAUACGUCAGUAGAGUCUCUGCAUGGAGAUAGAGAACAGAGAGACCGGGAAAAAGCAUUGGAGAACUUUAAAACAGGCAAAGUGAGAAUACUAAUUGCAACUGAUCUAGCCUCUAGAGGGCUUGAUGUCCAUGCUAUUACACGUCUAUAAUUUUAACUUUCCACGAAACAUUGAAGAAUAUGUACACCAAACAGGGCGCACGGGAAGAGCAGGGAGGACUGGUGUUUCCAUUACAACUAUCACUAGAAACGAUUGGAGGUUUGCCCCUGAAUUGGUUAGUAUUCUGCAAAGAACAAAUCAGACUAUUCCUGAUGACCUUUUAUCAAUGGCUGAGAGGUUCAAGGCGCGUCAACAGAAAAGAGAAAUGGAAAGAAAAACGGAAAGACCUCAAGGAAAGCCCAAGAAGUUUUAAUAAUGUCUUCUGCACUAGUGUGGUAGACAAGUCAAGAUUUUUUAGAAAUCUAAUAAGAUGGAAGUAUUGGAUGUGCUGGCAAUAUGAACAGACUGGAGUGAUUCAAGUGAUUCUUAGAAUAAUAGUGUUUGAAAAUGUAGAAUUAAUUGUUUUAUACUUUCUUUAAUAAAAGUAGAAGUAUUAAA
Non-coding RNA from Saimiri boliviensis boliviensis (Bolivian squirrel monkey), 1944 nucleotides. Lineage: Eukaryota; Metazoa; Chordata; Mammalia; Primates; Cebidae. The record is from RefSeq and is a predicted model, not a curated record.